This 3277-nucleotide unclassified non-coding RNA is filed under the name Megachile rotundata (alfalfa leafcutting bee). Its description in RNAcentral is "protein FAM76A, transcript variant X6". The record is from RNAcentral. Lineage: Eukaryota; Metazoa; Arthropoda; Insecta; Hymenoptera; Megachilidae.
CCGUCUCAAAUCAACAACCGGUGCAGUGAACGGGUAAAGUGACGCGGUUAUGUACGCAAAACAAUCGCGUCAGUCGCGUGAAAUGUCGUAGGAAAAAACAUGUAAGGAUUUGUAAUCUUAAGUGACAUCGUGUUGAAUUUUACGUUUUUUUUUGUUCGGGGAUACCAUUAGGAAAACAGUGAAAGUGAAACUUAGCCCGUACGUCGUCGCGUUUACGAAUUGGUUUUAUCGUUGGUGACGUACGGUUUUGGAACACCGAGGCCAAACACGAAUCCGCUGUUCGAGGAUGAGCGCGAACAAUGUGCAAGCUCUUUUCGCGUGUUCCAGAUGCUUUUCGAGGCAUCCUUUCGAGGAACUUUCCCCGGGACAACAAUUGUGCAAGGAAUGCAGAGGUGCAUUUCCUGUAGUGAAAUGUACAUAUUGUAGGUCAGAAUUCCAACAAACGAUAAAAGGAAAUACAAGCACCAUAUGUAAAAAAUGUGAGCAAAAUGUGAAAGCUUAUGGUAAGCCAUCGGCCUGUGAAUAUUGCAAUACCAUAGCUGCAUUCAUUGGCAGCAAAUGUCAACGAUGUACGAAUUCUGAAAAACGUUAUGGGCCGCCGGUAACUUGUGAGCAAUGCAAACAGAAGUGUGCCUUUGACAGACAGGAUGAAGACAAAAAAGUUGAUGGAAAGUUAUUAUGUUGGCUGUGUACACUGUCAUACAAACGAGCAUUGGCAAAAACAAAACAGUCAGAUGCAGAGAGAAGGGCACAUUUGAAACUGGCACAGCAACGGGCAGCGAAGCACAAAGAACAAAAGUUGAAAGGUCAUAAUAAGAGACCACACAGAGUAGAUGUUACAAAGCUGCCACCUCAGUCUGAAAGCGGAGAUUCGAAUGGUCCUACCCCGGUGAAAGCAGCUCGGAUGGUUGGUGUUCAUGAUCCACAUGAUCCUAACAGUUCGGAUCACGUAGUAGCAGUUACACAACUCAAAGAAAAGAUAGCUCAUCUCCAAAAACAAAUCACCAUCAAGGAUGGACAAUUGCUAGCUAAGGAUAGGCAGAUUACAGAAUUAAAGGCGAAAAACUUCACAUCGGAGACGGAACUGCGUAACAAGAUGAAAGCGACGGAAAAGGAAUACGAAGCGAAAAUCUCAACGAUGCAGCUGAAGAUCUCCAGUUUAUUGAAAGAAGUUGCAUCCUUGUCGAAGAGUUCCAAGCGUGGUGACAGAGUGACCGCAACGAAAACAGAAGCUGGGACCAAUAGUGGAAGUGGAACAGACAGUCCUGUACCUUGAUAAGACGCACUAACGUCGAUGCGGAUGAAUCGAGCAAGUUGGACCCGGACCGAGUUGAUCCGAGCGGGGGCACGAUUAAAAGUGAAGCCUCUUGACCACGUAGCCGGAGGUCAUAGUGGUGUAGGCAGACGUUACUCUCUUCCGUCUGGUCUGCGGGCAAGGUGGAGUGCGAGCGAUGGCCGCGAGUGUGACGAGGUCUGCCGCUUCGUCGAGCGGUAUGGCUCGAAGAGGAAUUCGUGGCAGUUCAGGAAGCGGAGUCGCGUCAUCGCGGAAUGAUGUAUUCUUUUCGAGAAUCCCGGUCCACGGACUAAACGUGCGCACAAACUGCUUAGUCAUUGACGGCAAAGCAUAAAAAACCCAUCGAACGGAAAACAAGACGAAGGGUGAACAAAAGAUGUCGACGGACGAAGAAUCACUGUGUCAUGUAUGGGAAUGUGGGAUUAUGGGGAUACCUGAAGUAUAGGGAAUGGUGGGUAUAUGGUUAUGGGGAUAUAGGGAUACAGGACUGUAGAGAUCUAGGGAUAUAGGGAUACAGGACUGUAGAGAUCUAGGCAUAUAGGGACACGGGAUUAUAGAGAUCUAGGGAUCAAGGAAUGCAAGAUUAUGGAGAUCUAGGGAUAUAAGAAUGCAGGACUAUAGAAAUCUGAGGAUAUAAGAAUACAGGACUAUAGAGAUCUAGGCAUAUAGAGAUACAGGACUAUAGAGAUCUAGGCAUAUAGGGGACACGGGAUUAUAGAGAUCUAGGGAUCAAGGAAUACAAGAUUAUAGAGAUCUGGGACCAGGAAUUUAAAUAUCAGGGAUUUAAGAAGAUUUACAGUGAUUUAUAGUGAUUUAGAAAUCCAUAUUGAGUUAAGUAUAGAAACACAGUGGUGAACCACGCGUUAUAUCGCCUUACACCGUAUAUCCAACGUGUUAUAUUGCCUCACAUCGUAUAUCCAACGCGUUAUAUUGCCUCACACCGUAUAUCCAACGCGCUAUAUCGCCUCACACCGUAUAUCUAACGCGUUACAUCACCCCUCAUUGUACAUCGCUGCAUAUCGUCCUCAAUUAAACCCUCCGCGCGUUAUAUCGCCUUACACCGUAUAUCCAGCGUGUUAUAUCGCCUUACAUUGUACAUUACUGCAUAUCAUCCCUAAUUAAACCUUCCACGCGUUAUACCGCCUCACACCGUAUAUCCAACGCAUUAUAUCGCCCCUCAUUGUACAUCGCCGCAUAUCGUCUCCGAUUAAACCACCACUUAUUAUAUCGCCUCGCAUUGCAUACCCGUCACGCCCAAUCGGUAUCAUCGAUCAGAAACAAUUGUAAAAGAGGUGUCUAAAGGAGAAAGGGUGCUGAGCGACAUCGACCCAAUAAGAACGAGGGAUUUUCAGGGACACCGGUCACAGGAAGCACGUCGAUGGAUCAGGGAGGUCAGGGGCGGUAAGAUCGAGAGGAAGGGAGAGAGCGAGAAAGAGAGAGAGAGAGAGAUGCUGCCGGGAGAGUCUGGUGUGUUCGGGACGCGGUCGAAGACACGAGACACACAGCGACCGUUCGUUACAUAAGUAAGGUAAAGGAUCUCCUCUUCUGCUCUCCUUGAACCGAUCCACAUCCGCGAUUAUGCCACUUUCCAUCGACCUCGCUUCACCUCGACUCGCUGUACGCAGCCAGCACGUGUGAGACGUCCGUGUACGUGAAACUAAUUAAGCUCCAUUGAUCGGAUCUAAUGAAUUUUACAACCUCUUUUUACUUUGUUUCCUCGGUCUUGCGGUUAUCUUUAUUUACCGACUUUGAUGAUGUUCAAAUUGUAUGACUUAGGAACUAUUUAUUCAAUUUGGAAAUUGUUUCAUUUGAAAUUUUAUUUUUUUAAACAAAAUGACUUAUGUUAUUGUUAAUGUAUAUGGACAAUCAAUUUUUUAAUAUCAAAUUAAUUUAAAUUAUAUUCCUUCAAUGCACUUUUUAAGAUUUAAGAGUUGUUUGUAUAUUUAUUGGUUGGAUAGUAAUUUUGACUUUUUCUUCUUGUUA